Mytilus californianus (California mussel) is the source of this 1958-nucleotide long non-coding RNA. RefSeq lists it as uncharacterized. The transcript is spliced from 3 exons. The record is from RefSeq and is a predicted model, not a curated record. NCBI's taxonomy places the organism in Eukaryota, Metazoa, Mollusca, Bivalvia, Mytilida, Mytilidae.
UUCCGUAUGAUUCUAUUUUAGCAGAGUUUAAAAGUUUGUCCCCAAACUUCCAUUUUUUUUUAUUAGUACUUAAUUAAUAAUAACAAUAGGACCACUUAAUCAGUUUGAUACUUUGACGAAACAUACAGAUUAAAAUCUUAAUCAUAUUAAUGACUGUGACCUGGAAAAUCCAUAUACGCACAUGUUAAAUACAGACUUAUAGUAGAUAAAACAUUUGGAUUUAAUAAUAUGUGCAAACAGAAAGUUUUAAAAAAAACAAUGAAAUAGAAUUGUAUAAUCUCUCAACAUAUAGUACUUGUCAUUUAAAUCAACCGAUUGCAAAAUAGUAAAAAUGACACAGAAAGUUCUCUACCGAAUGUUUAAAACAUAAUCCCUUAAAUAAAUCGUGACAUUUAAAGAAAAGUCUGAAGACAGAGCUAACAUGAAAAAUGCUACCUGGUUUUCAAUUUAGGAGAUUUUGAUACACCUGGAUUCUACCUGGAACCUCAACGACCCAUAGACAGGCAUGGAUCCGAAACAACUGCGAGCACUAAACCAAUGUCAUCGAGAUAUACUGAGAGAUCUAGACAUAGACAAACAAUUCCUUCUUAGUUUGUACAUAGACAACCUCAUAACUGAAGCUCAAAGUAAAGAUAUAGAGCAUGAAACAUCCAGAAGAGCUAAAGCUUCCAAACUUAUGGAGGUAUUACCACGGAGAGGGCCAUCCAUAUUUCCUCAGUUCGUAAACAAAUUACGGCGAGAUUAUUCUUGGAUUGCAGGCAAACUAGAUACAGAAUUUGAAAAGGCACAAAAAGAAAUGCCCAAGGACAUCAAUUCAAAAUUAAUAGAUGUUAUAAACAAUCAGUUAUGUCCAAUGGUUUACGGGGUUGAUGAUCAAAACAGUUUGUUGCCAUCGGAAACACAUCCUGGACAUUUAGUUAAUCAACUAUCAGACACUGUACAUACACUUCAAUACAGGAGUUACCGAGCUCUUGGGAUAUCGACACGUGACCCAGCAACUACAUAUAUGUCACUUCCAAGACUUAUAGAUCGUAAAGUUCAUAGUUUACAAAACAGUUUUAACGAAAUUAAAUCGUCACUUUCUGAGGAGAAGAAAAAGAACAAAACAAAUAUACCUGUAGACAAAAAAUCUACCAAAGAGGCCACUAAAAUGAAAAAAGAACUUGAAAAACAAAAGGAGGCUAACAAAAAACUUGAAUCUUCGUUGAAAGGAAAAAAUAAAAAGAUACAGUCUCUAUCUUGUGAGAACUUAACUUUACAAACACAAAAUCGACAGCUAAGGGACCGUGUUGAAGAACUGGAAAAAGAGGCACUAGUGUAUCACCGAGGGGCAAUGAUCACUGAAUGGAGGAUGUAGAGGGUACCAGAUUUAGUAUUAUAAAAUAAACAAGCUAUUUGGAAGGAAUUUGAAUGAAGUUUGUCUGAUUUAGACUCAAGAAAGUCAGCAUUCUAUUUUUCAUUUGAGUUGGGAGUUUAUCCAGAACUAUUAUACAUUGUUUGAUCUCAUGUUUUGUUUAAAUACUGCCUCAAUGUCCAAAUAUGAAAAUCAAAAUUCAUAACAAUACAUUAUAUAUUGUAAUCAGUGCUUAUUCUCUAUGAGAAUGUUAAUUCAAUACAAAGAAAAACAUUUCAUUUAUAGCUAAACUUACCAAUUUACAUGUAUAAUUUUUGCUAAAGAUAUUAUGAAGUCAAUACAUACAUACCUUCACACAUUUUAAUAUAUAAUCAUUACUGAAUAUUUUUUUUCAUAUUUUCAACAUAAAUCAUUGCGACAUGUGCCUUUUUUAUUCAAGCUUGGUGCAAACUUUUACAACUAUCAAAUCAAUCUUGUUUUCUAAGACUUAGAGAUAAAGAUAUUUAUUUAUGUUGUGUGCUUCUUUAUUUAUAACAGAGCUUUCUGAUUAUGUACACUACUGCAGCUGUGCCAAAUAAAUUAUAAAAUGUUUGUUUAUACAGAA